AGCGAACGUUAGCGGCGGGCUUAACACAUGCAAGUCGAGCGAGAAAGGUAGCAAUACCCUGUAAAGCGGCGGACGGGUGAGGAACACGUAGGUAAUUUUCCGUUCAGCGGGGGACAACGUUUCGAAAGGAACGCUAAUACCGCAUACGUUCACUGGGACUUCGGUCUUGGUGAGGAAAGCUAGGUAGCAAUAUCCGGCACUGAAUGAGAAGCCUGCGUCGCAUCAGCUAGUUGGUGGGGUAAUGGCCUACCAAGGCUAAGACGCGUAGCUGGUCUGAGAGGAUGAUCAGCCACACUGGGACUGAGACACGGCCCAGACUCCUACGGGAGGCAGCAGUGGGGAAUAUUGGACAAUGGGCGAAAGCCUGAUCCAGCCACGCCGCGUGAGGGAUGACGGCCUCGGUUGUAACCGUCUUCUAGCAGGAAGAAGACGAAAGUAGACGGUACCUGCAGAAGAAGACACCGGCUAACUAACGUGCCAGCAGCCGCGGUAAGCUCGUCUCUAC
This 505-nucleotide ribosomal RNA is filed under the name uncultured bacterium. RNAcentral describes it as "bacterial SSU rRNA". It matches the Rfam family "Bacterial small subunit ribosomal RNA", at positions 29 to 538 of the family's 1533-position model. The record is from RNAcentral.